GACGAACGCUGGCGGCGUGCCUAACACAUGCAAGUCAGGGAGAAGGAGGUAGCAAUACUUCCGGAAACCGGCGCACGGGUGAGUAACACGUAGGUAACCUACCCUCGGGCGGGAACGAACAUCGAGAAAUACGGUGCUAAUACCGCAUAACGCAACGAGACCGCAUGGUUUUGUUGUUAAAGAUCCGCAAGGAUCACCUGAGGAUGGACCUGCGCCCGAUUAGCUAGUUGGCGGAGUAAAAGCCCACCAAGGCAACGAUCGGUAGCCGACCUGAGAGGGUGAUCGGCCACACUGGAACUGAGAUACGGUCCAGACUCCUACGGGAGGCAGCAGUGAGGAAUAUUGGUCAAUGGGCCGAAAGCUGAACCAGCAACGCCGCGUGAGGGACGAAGAUCUAAGG
RNAcentral lists this ribosomal RNA (400 nucleotides) under uncultured bacterium. RNAcentral's name for it is "bacterial SSU rRNA". It matches the Rfam family "Bacterial small subunit ribosomal RNA", at positions 28 to 421 of the family's 1533-position model. The record is from RNAcentral.